RNAcentral lists this unclassified non-coding RNA (359 nucleotides) under uncultured bacterium. RNAcentral's name for it is "contains 16S-23S intergenic spacer region". The record is from RNAcentral.
UCCGGGUUGGUCCCGGCCGUCGGGCUAGAAAACCAACUAGCCCCGGGGGUUGCGCUCGUUGCGGGACUUAACCCAACACCUCACGGCACGAGCUGACGACAGCCAUGCAGCACCUGUGCAGGCUCCCGAAGGAGCACCGUGUUUCCACGGUUUCACCCUGCAUGUCAAGUCCUGGUAAGGUUCUUCGCGUUGCGUCGAAUUAAGCCACAUGCUCCGCCGCUUGUGCGGGCCCCCGUCAAUUUCUUUGAGUUUUAACCUUGCGGCCGUACUCCCCAGGCGGAUGACUUAUCGCGUUAGCUGCGCCACCGAAACUCCAUGAGCCCCGACAGCUAGUCACCAUCGUUUACGGCGUGGACUAC